AUACGUAGGGGGCGAGCGUUGUCCGGAAUGAUUGGGCGUAAAGGGCGCGUAGGCGGCCGCUUAAGUCUGGAGUGAGAGUCCUGUUUUCAAGAUGGGAAUUGCUUUGGAUACUGGGGGGCUUGAGUGCAGGAGAGGUUAUCGGAAUUCCCGGUGUAGCGGUGAAAUGCGUAGAGAUCGGGAGGAACACCAGUGGCGAAGGCGGGUAACUGGACUGCAACUGACGCUGAGGCGCGAAAGUGUGGGGAGCAAACAGGAUUAGAUACCCUGGUAGUCCACACUGUAAACGAUGAAUGCUAGGUGUAAGAGGUAUCGACCCCUUUUGUGCCGGAGUCAACACAAUAAGCAUUCCGCCUGGGGAGUACGGCCGCAAGGUUGAAACUUAAAGGAAUUGACGGGG
RNAcentral lists this ribosomal RNA (397 nucleotides) under uncultured bacterium. Its description in RNAcentral is "partial 16S ribosomal RNA". It matches the Rfam family "Bacterial small subunit ribosomal RNA", at positions 523 to 918 of the family's 1533-position model. The record is from RNAcentral.